This 301-nucleotide ribosomal RNA is filed under the name uncultured bacterium. Its description in RNAcentral is "partial 16S ribosomal RNA". It matches the Rfam family "Bacterial small subunit ribosomal RNA", at positions 509 to 807 of the family's 1533-position model. The record is from RNAcentral.
CAGCCGCCGCGGGAAUACGAAGGGUGCAAGCGUUAAUCGGAAUUACUGGGCGUAAAGCGUGCGUAGGCGGUUUGUUAAGUCUGUUGUGAAAUCCCCGGGCUCAACCUGGGAAUGGCAAUGGAUACUGGCAAGCUAGAGUAUGUCAGAGGAUGGUGGAAUUCCCGGUGUAGCGGUGAAAUGCGUAGAGAUCGGGAGGAACAUCAGUGGCGAAGGCGGCCAUCUGGGACAACACUGACGCUGAGGCACGAAAGCGUGGGGAGCAAACAGGAUUAGAUACCCCUGUAGUCCCUGUCUCUUAUAC